CAUUCAAUUCUUUGUCUGAAGUGAGAAGGACCUGGAAUACAUUUAACUGGUGAGCCAUUUUGAAAAGGAACCAUCCAGUAACAUUUUGGUGCAGCCAGCCAGGAGAGGAGAAAAACCAAGGUACGAAGAGACCAAGGUCCCAAGACAGGCAGAUAGGAAUCCACUUGGACCACAC
Molecule: long non-coding RNA, 175 nt
Filed under: Fukomys damarensis (Damara mole-rat)
Lineage: Eukaryota; Metazoa; Chordata; Mammalia; Rodentia; Bathyergidae
Description: lncRNA (ENSFDAG00000030510.1)
Source: RNAcentral